UUAAGCGACUAAGCGUACACGGUGGAUGCCCUGGCAGUCAGAGGCGAUGAAGGACGUGCUAAUCUGCGAAAAGCGUCGGUAAGGUGAUAUGAACCGUUAUAACCGGCGAUGUCCGAAUGGGGAAACCCAGUGCAAUUCGUUGCACUAUCGUUAACUGAAUACAUAGGUUAACGAGGCGAACCGGGGGAACUGAAACAUCUAAGUACCCCGAGGAAAAGAAAUCAACCGAGAUUCCCCCAGUAGCGGCGAGCGAACGGGGAGCAGCCCAGAGUCUGAAUCAGCUUGUGUGUUAGUGGAACGGUCUGGAAAGUCCGACGGUACAGGGUGAUAGUCCCGUACACCAAAAUGCACAGGUUGUGAACUCGAAGAGUAGGGCGGGACACGUGGUAUCCUGUCUGAAUAUGGGGGGACCAUCCUCCAAGGCUAAAUACUCCUGACUGACCGAUAGUGAACCAGUACCGUGAGGGAAAGGCGAAAAGAACCCCGGCGAGGGGAGUGAAAAAGAACCUGAAACCGUGUACGUACAAGCAGUGGGAGCACCUUCGGGUGUGACUGCGUACCUUUUGUAUAAUGGGUCAGCGACUUAUAUUCUGUAGCAAGGUUAACCGUAUAGGGGAGCCGCAGGGAAACCGAGUCUUAACUGGGCGUUAAGUUGCAGGGUAUAGACCCGAAACCCGGUGAUCUAGCCAUGGGCAGGUUGAAGGUUGGGUAACACUAACUGGAGGACCGAACCGACUAAUGUUGAAAAAUUAGCGGAUGACUUGUGGCUGGGGGUGAAAGGCCAAUCAAACCGGGAGAUAGCUGGUUCUCCCCGAAAGCUAUUUAGGUAGCGCCUCGUGAACUCAUCUUCGGGGGUAGAGCACUGUUUCGGCUAGGGGGUCAUCCCGACUUACCAACCCGAUGCAAACUACGAAUACCGAAGAAUGUUAUCACGGGAGACACACGGCGGGUGCUAACGUCCGUCGUGAAGAGGGAAACAACCCAGACCGCCAGCUAAGGUCCCAAAGUCAUGGUUAAGUGGGAAACGAUGUGGGAAGGCACAGACAGCCAGGAUGUUGGCUUAGAAGCAGCCAUCAUUUAAAGAAAGCGUAAUAGCUCACUGGUCGAGUCGGCCUGCGCGGAAGAUGUAACGGGGCUAAACCAUGCACCGAAGCUGCGGCAGCGACACUAUGUGUUGUUGGGUAGGGGAGCGUUCUGUAAGCCUGCGAAGGUGACCUGUGAGGGUUGCUGGAGGUAUCAGAAGUGCGAAUGCUGACAUAAGUAACGAUAAAGCGGGUGAAAAGCCCGCUCGCCGGAAGACCAAGGGUUCCUGUCCAACGUUAAUCGGGGCAGGGUGAGUCGACCCCUAAGGCGAGGCCGAAAGGCGUAGUCGAUGGGAAACAGGUUAAUAUUCCUGUACUUGGUGUUACUGCGAAGGGGGGACGGAGAAGGCUAUGUUAGCCGGGCGACGGUUGUCCCGGUUUAAGCAUGUAGGCUGGUUAUCCAGGCAAAUCCGGAUAAUCAAGGCUGAGGUGUGAUGACGAGGCACUACGGUGCUGAAGUAACAAAUGCCCUGCUUCCAGGAAAAGCCUCUAAGCAUCAGGUAACAUCAAAUCGUACCCCAAACCGACACAGGUGGUCAGGUAGAGAAUACCAAGGCGCUUGAGAGAACUCGGGUGAAGGAACUAGGCAAAAUGGUGCCGUAACUUCGGGAGAAGGCACGCUGGUGUGUAGGUGAAGCCCCUGCGGGUGGAGCUGAGACCAGUCGAAGAUACCAGCUGGCUGCAACUGUUUAUUAAAAACACAGCACUGUGCAAACACGAAAGUGGACGUAUACGGUGUGACGCCUGCCCGGUGCCGGAAGGUUAAUUGAUGGGGUUAUCCGUAAGGAGAAGCUCUUGAUCGAAGCCCCGGUAAACGGCGGCCGUAACUAUAACGGUCCUAAGGUAGCGAAAUUCCUUGUCGGGUAAGUUCCGACCUGCACGAAUGGCGUAAUGAUGGCCAGGCUGUCUCCACCCGAGACUCAGUGAAAUUGAACUCGCUGUGAAGAUGCAGUGUACCCGCGGCAAGACGGAAAGACCCCGUGAACCUUUACUAUAGCUUGACACUGAACAUUGAGCCUUGAUGUGUAGGAUAGGUGGGAGGCUUUGAAGCGUGGACGCCAGUCUGCGUGGAGCCAACCUUGAAAUACCACCCUUUAAUGUUUGAUGUUCUAACGUUGGCCCCUGACCGGGGUUGCGGACAGUGUCUGGUGGGUAGUUUGACUGGGGCGGUCUCCUCCCAAAGCGUAACGGAGGAGCACGAAGGUUAGCUAAUCCUGGUCGGACAUCAGGAGGUUAGUGCAAUGGCAUAAGCUAGCUUGACUGCGAGCGUGACGGCGCGAGCAGGUGCGAAAGCAGGUCAUAGUGAUCCGGUGGUUCUGAAUGGAAGGGCCAUCGCUCAACGGAUAAAAGGUACUCCGGGGAUAACAGGCUGAUACCGCCCAAGAGUUCAUAUCGACGGCGGUGUUUGGCACCUCGAUGUCGGCUCAUCACAUCCUGGGGCUGAAGUAGGUCCCAAGGGUAUGGCUGUUCGCCAUUUAAAGUGGUACGCGAGCUGGGUUUAGAACGUCGUGAGACAGUUCGGUCCCUAUCUGCCGUGGGCGCUGGAGAAUUGAGGGGGGCUGCUCCUAGUACGAGAGGACCGGAGUGGACGCAUCACUGGUGUUCGGGUUGUCAUGCCAAUGGCACUGCCCGGUAGCUAAAUGCGGAAGAGAUAAGUGCUGAAAGCAUCUAAGCACGAAACUUGCCCCGAGAUGAGUUCUCCCUGAGACUUUAAGUCUCCUGAAGGAACGUUAAAGACGAUGACGUUGAUAGGCCGGGUGUGUAAGCGCAGCGAUGCGUUGAGCUAACCGGUACUAAUGAACCGUGAGGCUUAACCUU
This 2900-nucleotide ribosomal RNA is filed under the name Klebsiella pneumoniae. Its description in RNAcentral is "bacterial LSU rRNA". It matches the Rfam family "Bacterial large subunit ribosomal RNA". Lineage: Bacteria; Pseudomonadati; Pseudomonadota; Gammaproteobacteria; Enterobacterales; Enterobacteriaceae. The record is from RNAcentral.